GCCAUGAAAUCUCAAAUAAUUAAAAACUUUUAUUUUCACAUACAAUCUGUCCCAUAUACGGGCUUACGAGGCCCAAAACAUACAUCCGGAGUGGUUCGGGACCCAACCGAGAACUCAUGAAAAACUUAGAAAAUCUCCUGCAUCAAGGCUUCAUACGCCCGUGUGGGUAUAGAGCACACGCCCGUGUGCUAAGGACAUGCCCGUGUCCCAAACCCAUGUCCAAAACCUGGACAAAUACAAGGCUAUUUCCCAAGCCAUUUUGUCACACUCACAAUAGAUACACGCAUACUUAUACAAUAACAUACAACAUGGCAAAAUUAGGUACUUAAACAUUCCUAACAUGUCAUGGUUAUGGCAAUUUCACAUGCAAUAGAUAUCCUAAAUUUUACUCACAUCUUUACCACAUUCAUACUAUAAUCAUUAUAAACUCAUCACAUAAUACCAUAGCACAUGCAUGCAUAAUUAAAUUAGAUUUACAAUCCCAUAAUCAAAAUAGGCCAAUACAUAUGGUUAAAGCCAUAUCACAUACUCCAAUAUUUAAACUCCUAUACAUGCCAUAGGCUCAAAGUACUUGAAAUCACUACACCAAUAGCGUUAGCUUGACAGUGUGAUAAUAUCUCUGAUGGCCUCCAACCCGAGCUAACCUGGAAACUCUAGAAAACAUGGGAAAGAAGGGGGGUAAGCUUUCGCUUAGUAAGUUCAUAUGAAAACAAUAAGCAACUCAUUAACUUGUUUUAUCAAUGUUUACAACAUAUUUUCAAAUUCACUACAAGUUGUCUUUCUGAGCAACGGUCACUAAAUUAUUUAUAUCUAGAGCUACGAAUCUCCGAAUUAAGUUCCGUUAAUUUUCCCUGAAACUAGACUUAUUUUCCUUUCUUCCAUAAAAUUUACAGAAUUUUUGGUUAAGCCAAAUAGUACAGUUUAUUCCUCAAAUUUACCCCUGAUUCACUGUCUGACAGUUCCGACCCUUCUGUACUAAAGUUCAAUUAUCUCAUAGUACAAGACUCGAAUAAUGUUCUCGUCUAUUUCUCUAGAAACUAGACUUAUAUGUCUACUUAAUAAUUUUUUUUCUAGAAUUUUUGGUUGGGUCAAUUAGUACAGUUUAUUAGUAAAAGUCUCCCCUAUUUCAGGGUAUGACCACUCUGACCCCUGUGCACUACAAACCGAAUUUCUCCCUUUACAAAAUUCCAACGAUCAUGCCGUUUAUUUCCCCUAAAAAUAGACUCAAUAAGGAAUCCAUGAAUGUAAGGUAUGACUCUUAAUAAUUUUUGUAAAAUUUUUGGUGAAUUUCUAAAUUCAGAAUAGGGGAUCUCGAAUUCAUUCAGACCCUGUUUCACAAGAAUUCAAAUAUCACACAAUAUGGAAUUCUUUUUCUUCCCAUGUUUCUUUCAUGUGAAAGUAGACUCAUUAAGCUUUAAUCCCAUAUUUUAUUCUACCUCACUCAUUUUCCACUAUUUUUAGUGUAUUUUCAAAGUUACACUAUUGCAGUAACUCAAAUCUGUCAAGGCUAAAUUACUCAUUCAUGAUCAUUGUUCACAAAAUUAAUACAACAUCGUUUGUAUAAUCAUCACCGAGACAUUCAUAUCACAUUUUCAUUUACCAUCUUACCAUAUUGUUGUUAUGUCGAGUUUUCAACCCGAGGGUUAAGUACAUACAUGUUCAAAGUAUCCAUUUCACAACAUUUACCAAUACGUCCAUUUCAUCUCGAGUAUUCCUCCAUUUGAGUAGAAUUUUACCCCGGAAUAUAAUUCGGAUACAUGGAAAGUUUGCGCAUAAGUGCCACAUAUGUAGCCAAGCUACCAUGUAACCCGCCCAUAAGUGAACUCGGACUCAACUCAACGAGCUCGGGCGUUCGCAUCCAUAAGUGAACUCGGACUCAACUCAACGAGCUCGGAUGCCUAGUUACAUCUCACGAACUCGGACUCAACUCAACGAGUUCGAACAUUCGCAUCCAUAAGUGAACUCGGACUCAACUCAACGAGUUCGGAUGCUCAACCAUCCUAGUGACAUGUCACUUGUAUCCUAAUCUAUUCCUAAGGUUCAAACGGGAUUUUCCUCGAACACAUAUCCUUGCCAUCUUCCGUAAAAUAACGAAACCAAUACUCGGUAGCACUUUAUAUUUAACAGAUAAUACACAUAACUUGCAUUUUAUUCGAAAAUAACCACAAAGCAUAUAUUUCAUGAUAAAAAUCAGCAUAUCAUAUAUUUAACAUCAAUAACUUAAAAAUAACAAUUAUGCUACAUUAUUUACACAUGAACUUACCUCGAUACCACAAAAGUGAAAAAAAAAGACGUAAUUAUCCCUUAAUCGAUUUCUUUCCGUUCUAGGUCCAAAUCUCGAUUUUCAUCAUCUAAAAUAUCACAUUCAACUUAUUAAAACAAUGUACUGAUCAAAUUAGUCCAUUGACACACUUGGGAAAUUUUUACAAUGUUGCCCCUAUAUUUUGUCAAAAUUACCAAAUUACCCCUAGGCUCGUAAAAUAAUUUUUAUCACAUUUAUUUACUCCUUGAGUCUAGAUGAGCCAUUUUCAUAACUAUAGCAACUCAUAAAUUCAACUAUUUCACAUAUUUACAACUCAUUUUACAACUUAGCAAUCUAGCCCCUUUUUAAGGUGUUUUCAUGCAGUUUCUUUCACAAAAGUUGUUUAUUAGACAACUAGGACUCAUAAUCUUCCAUAAAAACACAGCAAACAACACAUUUAAUCUCAUGGAAAAACCUUAGACUCUUCAUCAUUUUUGCAAAAUAGACCCCUCAUAUGAAAGCUCAUGCUUUAGGGGUUCCAAAAAUGUAAAAAUCAUCAAGAAAAAGCAUUAAAAUCACUUACUAUAAAGGGAGUUUCUUUGCUGAAAGUUUCCAGUUUCUAAACCCUUUCUUUGCUGCCAUUUUUUCGGUGGAGAGAAGAUAAAGAAAAGAUGAUAUUUUCUUUUCUUUAUUUUAUUACUUAUUUGUCAAAUAAGUCACCCAACACUUACCUAACAUGCUUGACCGUUUCAUUCCUU
RNAcentral lists this long non-coding RNA (3000 nucleotides) under Gossypium barbadense (sea-island cotton). RNAcentral's name for it is "long non-coding RNA (GBAR_LNC005880)". Lineage: Eukaryota; Viridiplantae; Streptophyta; Magnoliopsida; Malvales; Malvaceae. The record is from RNAcentral.